This 468-nucleotide ribosomal RNA is filed under the name uncultured Bacillota bacterium. RNAcentral describes it as "bacterial SSU rRNA". It matches the Rfam family "Bacterial small subunit ribosomal RNA", at positions 9 to 495 of the family's 1533-position model. The record is from RNAcentral. Lineage: Bacteria; Bacillati; Bacillota.
GAGUUUGAUCAUGGCUCAGGACGAACGCUGGCGGCACGCCUAACACAUGCAAGUCGAACGGAGAUAUUUUGGUUUACUGAGAUAUCUUAGUGGCGGACGGGUGAGUAACACGUGAGCAACCUGCCUCUGAGAGAGGGAUAGCUUCUGGAAACGGAUGGUAAUACCUCAUAACAUAACGAAGCCGCAUGACUUUGUUAUCAAAGAUUUAUCACUCAGAGAUGGGCUCGCGUCUGAUUAGAUAGUUGGUGAGGUAACGGCUCACCAAGUCGACGAUCAGUAGCCGGACUGAGAGGUUGAACGGCCACAUUGGGACUGAGACACGGCCCAGACUCCUACGGGAGGCAGCAGUGGGGAAUAUUGCACAAUGGGGGAAACCCUGAUGCAGCGAUGCCGCGUGGAAGAAGAAGGUUUUCGGAUUGUAAACUCCUGUCUAAAGGACGAUAAUGACGGUACUAGGAGAGUUUGGCG